AACGUGCAUUAGUGCAGAUCUUGGUGGUAGUAGCAACUAUUCAAAUGAGAACUUUGAAGACUGAAGCGGAGAAAGGUUCCAUGUGAACAGCAAUUGGACAUGGGUUAGUCGAUCCUAAGGCUCAGAGUAACUCCGUUAUAAGGCGGGCUUUUUUCGGAAAGCCCCGGUGGCCGAAAGGGAAGAAGGUUAAAAUUCCUUCACCUGGACGUGGAUAACGAGUGGUAACACAAGCAAAACUGGAGACGUCGGCUGGAGUCCCGGGAAGAGUUCUCUUUUCUUGUUAACAGUUCCGCAGGCCCUGGAAUCGGAUUAUCCGGCGAUAGGGUCUGGUGGCUGGGAAAGCAGCUUAAUCUUUGAGCUGUCCGGUGCUCUCCAGACGGCCCUUGAAAAUCCGGUGGCGUGACUUAUUUACACCCCAGGUCGUACUCAUAACCGCAUCAGGUCUCCAAGGUGAGUAGCCUCUAGUCGAUAGAGUAAUGUGGAUAAGGGAAGUCGGCAAAAUAGAUUCGUAUCUUUGGUAAAAGAAUUGGCUCUGAGGAUUGGGCUUAGGAGUCCUAGUUGUAAGAUUGGGAAGCCU
This 577-nucleotide ribosomal RNA is filed under the name Schmidingerella taraikaensis. Its description in RNAcentral is "partial Eukaryotic large subunit ribosomal RNA". It matches the Rfam family "Eukaryotic large subunit ribosomal RNA", at positions 1431 to 1998 of the family's 3401-position model. Lineage: Eukaryota; Ciliophora; Spirotrichea; Tintinnida; Rhabdonellidae. The record is from RNAcentral.